RNAcentral lists this small nucleolar RNA (166 nucleotides) under Ananas comosus (pineapple). RNAcentral's name for it is "small nucleolar RNA snoR143". It matches the Rfam family "small nucleolar RNA snoR143". The record is from Rfam by way of RNAcentral. Lineage: Eukaryota; Viridiplantae; Streptophyta; Magnoliopsida; Poales; Bromeliaceae.
UUCCAAUAAAUAAAAAAAAUUCACCUGCUUAUUAUGGUGGUGUGAUUUUUAUCGUUGGUGCAAAAAAAAAAAGCUGUCUUUGACAGCAGCGGCCAGACAACCGUAGGGAUGGAUCCACAGGUGAAUGGGUUGAAUUCCAUUUGUCUACUGAUUCCAUCUCACAUUA